This 668-nucleotide ribosomal RNA is filed under the name Escherichia coli. RNAcentral describes it as "partial 23S ribosomal RNA". It matches the Rfam family "Bacterial large subunit ribosomal RNA", at positions 2263 to 2925 of the family's 2925-position model. Lineage: Bacteria; Pseudomonadati; Pseudomonadota; Gammaproteobacteria; Enterobacterales; Enterobacteriaceae. RNAcentral also lists the same sequence under 8 other names. The record is from RNAcentral.
GGGUAGUUUGACUGGGGCGGUCUCCUCCUAAAGAGUAACGGAGGAGCACGAAGGUUGGCUAAUCCUGGUCGGACAUCAGGAGGUUAGUGCAAUGGCAUAAGCCAGCUUGACUGCGAGCGUGACGGCGCGAGCAGGUGCGAAAGCAGGUCAUAGUGAUCCGGUGGUUCUGAAUGGAAGGGCCAUCGCUCAACGGAUAAAAGGUACUCCGGGGAUAACAGGCUGAUACCGCCCAAGAGUUCAUAUCGACGGCGGUGUUUGGCACCUCGAUGUCGGCUCAUCACAUCCUGGGGCUGAAGUAGGUCCCAAGGGUAUGGCUGUUCGCCAUUUAAAGUGGUACGCGAGCUGGGUUUAGAACGUCGUGAGACAGUUCGGUCCCUAUCUGCCGUGGGCGCUGGAGAACUGAGGGGGGCUGCUCCUAGUACGAGAGGACCGGAGUGGACGCAUCACUGGUGUUCGGGUUGUCAUGCCAAUGGCACUGCCCGGUAGCUAAAUGCGGAAGAGAUAAGUGCUGAAAGCAUCUAAGCACGAAACUUGCCCCGAGAUGAGUUCUCCCUGAGACUUAGAGUCUCCUGAAGGAACGUUGAAGACGACGACGUUGAUAGGCCGGGUGUGUAAGCGCAGCGAUGCGUUGAGCUAACCGGUACUAAUGAACCGUGAGGCUUAACCUU